GUGCCUUUAGCUCAGCUGGAUAGAGCAACUGCCUUCUAAGCAGUAGGUCGUGGGUUCGAGUCCCCCAAGGCACGCCA
RNAcentral lists this transfer RNA (77 nucleotides) under Clostridia bacterium. RNAcentral describes it as "tRNA-Arg". It matches the Rfam family "tRNA". From Rfam's summary of the family: Transfer RNA (tRNA) molecules are approximately 80 nucleotides in length. Their secondary structure includes four short double-helical elements and three loops (D, anti-codon, and T loops). Lineage: Bacteria; Bacillati; Bacillota; Clostridia. The record is from RNAcentral. RNAcentral also lists the same sequence under 3 other names.